GGUUAAGCGACUAAGCGUACACGGUGGAUGCCCUGGCAGUCAGAGGCGAUGAAGGGCGUGCUAAUCUGCGAUAAGCGCCGGUAAGGUGAUAUGAACCGUUAUAACCGGCGAUACCCGAAUGGGGAAACCCAGUGUGAUUCGUCACACUAUCAUUAACUGAAUCCAUAGGUUAAUGAGGCGAACCGGGGGAACUGAAACAUCUAAGUACCCCGAGGAAAAGAAAUCAACCGAGAUUCCCCCAGUAGCGGCGAGCGAACGGGGAGGAGCCCAGAGCCUGAAUCAGCAUGUGUGUUAGUGGAAGCGUCUGGAAAGGCGCGCGAUACAGGGUGACAGCCCCGUACACAAAAGCGCAUGUGCUGUGAGCUCGAUGAGUAGGGCGGGACACGUGGUAUCCUGUCUGAAUAUGGGGGGACCAUCCUCCAAGGCUAAAUACUCCUGACUGACCGAUAGUGAACCAGUACCGUGAGGGAAAGGCGAAAAGAACCCCGGCGAGGGGAGUGAAAAAGAACCUGAAACCGUGUACGUACAAGCAGUGGGAGCCCCACCACUAAGCCAGUGGUGAACUCCACAUACGCAUCCUUUGCUGAGGAUACGGUUAACGGAGCGAAAGCGACGUUCAACCUCAAAAGAAGCAGAGGGGGCUUAGUGGUGGGGUGACUGCGUACCUUUUGUAUAAUGGGUCAGCGACUUAUAUUCUGUAGCAAGGUUAACCGAAUAGGGGAGCCGGAGGGAAACCGAGUCUUAAUUGGGCGUUAAGUUGCAGGGUAUAGACCCGAAACCCGGUGAUCUAGCCAUGGGCAGGUUGAAGGUUGGGUAACACUAACUGGAGGACCGAACCGACUAAUGUUGAAAAAUUAGCGGAUGACCUGUGGCUGGGGGUGAAAGGCCAAUCAAACCGGGAGAUAGCUGGUUCUCCCCGAAAGCUAUUUAGGUAGCGCCUCGUGAACUCAUCUCCGGGGGUAGAGCACUGUUUCGGCUAGGGGGCCAUCCCGGCUUACCAACCCGAUGCAAACUGCGAAUACCGGAGAAUGUUAUCACGGGAGACACACGGCGGGUGCUAACGUCCGUCGUGAAGAGGGAAACAACCCAGACCGCCAGCUAAGGUCCCAAAGUCAUGGUUAAGUGGGAAACGAUGUGGGAAGGCCCAGACAGCCAGGAUGUUGGCUUAGAAGCAGCCAUCAUUUAAAGAAAGCGUAAUAGCUCACUGGUCGAGUCGGCCUGCGCGGAAGAUGUAACGGGGCUAAACCAUGCACCGAAGCUGCGGCAGCGAACGUAUCACCCAAGACAACUUUACGGAGUUGACGAUUGACGGAGCGAAGCGACGUCAAAGCGUUCAUUAAAGUCGAGUUGGCUUAGGGAUACGUUCGUUGGGUAGGGGAGCGUUCUGUAAGCCUGUGAAGGUGGCCUGUGAGGGUUGCUGGAGGUAUCAGAAGUGCGAAUGCUGACAUAAGUAACGAUAAAGCGGGUGAAAAGCCCGCUCGCCGGAAGACCAAGGGUUCCUGUCCAACGUUAAUCGGGGCAGGGUGAGUCGACCCCUAAGGCGAGGCCGAAAGGCGUAGUCGAUGGGAAACGGGUUAAUAUUCCCGUACUUGGUGUUACUGCGAAGGGGGGACGGAGAAGGCUAUGUUGGCCGGGCGACGGUUGUCCCGGUUUAAGCGUGUAGGCUGGUUUUCCAGGCAAAUCCGGAAAAUCAAGGCUGAGGCGUGACGACGAGGCACUACGGUGCUGAAGCAACAAAUGCCCUGCUUCCAGGAAAAGCCUCUAAGCAUCAGGUAACAUCAAAUCGUACCCCAAACCGACACAGGUGGUCAGGUAGAGAAUACCAAGGCGCUUGAGAGAACUCGGGUGAAGGAACUAGGCAAAAUGGUGCCGUAACUUCGGGAGAAGGCACGCUGACAUGUAGGUGAAGUGAUUUACUCAUGGAGCUGAAGUCAGUCGAAGAUACCAGCUGGCUGCAACUGUUUAUUAAAAACACAGCACUGUGCAAACACGAAAGUGGACGUAUACGGUGUGACGCCUGCCCGGUGCCGGAAGGUUAAUUGAUGGGGUCAGCGCAAGCGAAGCUCCUGAUCGAAGCCCCGGUAAACGGCGGCCGUAACUAUAACGGUCCUAAGGUAGCGAAAUUCCUUGUCGGGUAAGUUCCGACCUGCACGAAUGGCGUAAUGAUGGCCAGGCUGUCUCCACCCGAGACUCAGUGAAAUUGAACUCGCUGUGAAGAUGCAGUGUACCCGCGGCAAGACGGAAAGACCCCGUGAACCUUUACUAUAGCUUGACACUGAACAUUGAGCCUUGAUGUGUAGGAUAGGUGGGAGGCUUUGAAGUGUGGACGCCAGUCUGCAUGGAGCCGACCUUGAAAUACCACCCUUUAAUGUUUGAUGUUCUAACGUGGACCCGUUACCCGGGUUGCGGACAGUGUCUGGUGGGUAGUUUGACUGGGGCGGUCUCCUCCUAAAGAGUAACGGAGGAGCACGAAGGUUGGCUAAUCCUGGUCGGACAUCAGGAGGUUAGUGCAAUGGCAUAAGCCAGCUUGACUGCGAGCGUGACGGCGCGAGCAGGUGCGAAAGCAGGUCAUAGUGAUCCGGUGGUUCUGAAUGGAAGGGCCAUCGCUCAACGGAUAAAAGGUACUCCGGGGAUAACAGGCUGAUACCGCCCAAGAGUUCAUAUCGACGGCGGUGUUUGGCACCUCGAUGUCGGCUCAUCACAUCCUGGGGCUGAAGUAGGUCCCAAGGGUAUGGCUGUUCGCCAUUUAAAGUGGUACGCGAGCUGGGUUUAGAACGUCGUGAGACAGUUCGGUCCCUAUCUGCCGUGGGCGCUGGAGAACUGAGGGGGCUGCUCCUAGUACGAGAGGACCGGAGUGGACGCAUCACUGGUGUUCGGGUUGUCAUGCCAAUGGCACUGCCCGGUAGCUAAAUGCGGAAGAGAUAAGUGCUGAAAGCAUCUAAGCACGAAACUUGCCCCGAGAUGAGUUCUCCCUGAGACUUAGAGUCUCCUGAAGGAACGUUGAAGACGACGACGUUGAUAGGCCGGGUGUGUAAGCGCAGCGAUGCGUUGAGCUAACCGGUACUAAUGAACCGUGAGGCUUAACCUU
Molecule: ribosomal RNA, 3088 nt
Filed under: Salmonella enterica subsp. enterica serovar Mbandaka
Lineage: Bacteria; Pseudomonadati; Pseudomonadota; Gammaproteobacteria; Enterobacterales; Enterobacteriaceae
Description: 23S ribosomal RNA
Rfam family: Bacterial large subunit ribosomal RNA
Source: RNAcentral